UCGUGAGUCGUCAUGGCUAGUCGCCAGGGCGACGAACUCCGUAGCGUUCAGGAAGAAUGGCGCGGAGUUUCACCAGAAAAAGGAA
Molecule: non-coding RNA, 85 nt
Filed under: Pseudomonas sp. 8Z
Lineage: Bacteria; Pseudomonadati; Pseudomonadota; Gammaproteobacteria; Pseudomonadales; Pseudomonadaceae
Description: gyrA
Rfam family: gyrA RNA
Source: RNAcentral